AUUAAACGCUGGCGGCAUGCCUUACACAUGCAAGUCGAACGGCAGCACGGGGGCAACCCUGGUGGCGAGUGGCGAACGGGUGAGUAAAGCAUCGGAACGUGCCCUGGAGUGGGGGAUAACGUAGCGAAAGUUACGCUAAUACCGCAUAUUCUGUGAGCAGGAAAGCAGGGGAUCGCAAGACCUUGCGCUCUGGGAGCGGCCGAUGUCGGAUUAGCUAGUUGGUGGGGUAAAGGCCCACCAAGGCGACGAUCCGUAGCUGGUCUGAGAGGAUGAUCAGCCACACUGGAACUGAGACACGGUCCAGACUCCUACGGGAGGCAGCAGUGGGGAAUAUUGGACAAUGGGCGCAAGCCUGAUCCAGCAAUGCCGCGUGUGUGAAGAAGGCCUUCGGGUUGUAAAGCGACUUUAUCAGGAACGAAAAGCGUUGGAUUAAUACUCUGACGUGCUGACGGUACCUGAGGAAUAA
This 466-nucleotide ribosomal RNA is filed under the name uncultured bacterium. Its description in RNAcentral is "bacterial SSU rRNA". It matches the Rfam family "Bacterial small subunit ribosomal RNA", at positions 30 to 489 of the family's 1533-position model. The record is from RNAcentral.